This 1521-nucleotide long non-coding RNA is filed under the name Pan troglodytes (chimpanzee). RNAcentral describes it as "long non-coding RNA NONPTRT014589". Lineage: Eukaryota; Metazoa; Chordata; Mammalia; Primates; Hominidae. The record is from RNAcentral.
CGGCAGUAUACCUGAGGGUGUCCUCCGUGUUCGCGCCUCCCGCCGCCUGCACUGAAAGGUCUGUACCUGAGCCUGGAUACUUGAACAGAGGCAGACACUGCGGCUCAAAACCCCAAGGGUAGGUGCCUAUUGUGCGGAGUCCCGGAACGCCUGCCUGGAAGAAGAGUUCCGGCGGCUCCCCGAACGCUUGGAGAAAGCGCUUGGAUGCAGUUGCAGGAAUAUCCUAGCUCUGAGACAAAAAUUGGGAACCUCAGCAUGAGUUUGUCACCUGAAUGAAAUUAAAAAAAUCACGUUGAAGGCUGGGUGCAGUAACACGUGCCUGUAGUCCCAGCUACUCUGGAGGCUGAGUCAGGAGGAUCACUUGAGACCAGAAGUUCAGGAAUUCAAGACUGGCUUGAGCAACAUAGCAAGACUUCAUUUCAAAACAAACAGAAAAAAACCACCACCUUCAGUAUUUCUUGCCAAAGCAAAGGAGCCAUUUGUUCUUUACGAUGGUCAGGAAAGGAAGCAUCAAGGUCAUCAAAUGAAAAAUUUUCAGCAUUUCAGCCUCUCUGCUCAGGGAAAUAUCUGAAUCUAGAAUAUCACAACAUAAGCCAAAACCGCCCCAUUUCUCAUGCCACAUGUCACUCUUAACACAAGGUUACUCAACCUCGAGCAUGGUUGGCAUUUGGGGCUGAAUAAUUCUUUUUUGUAGGGGGCUGUCCUGGGCAUUGUAGGAUGCUCAUGAGCUACCUCAGUCUCUACCACCCACUAGAUGCCAGUAGCAUUGACCCCUGAUCUCUCUACCCAAGUUGUGACAACUAAAACCAUCUCUGGAUAAUGGAGGAACCUUAAAUGCAUAUUGCUAAGGAAAAGCCAAUCUGAAAGGAUUACAUAUCGUAUGAGUCCAACUAUAUGGUAAUCUGGAAAAGGCAAAACCAUGGAGACAGUAAAAAGGUAGUGGUUACCAGUGGUCCAUGGGAAGGAUUGGAUGAAUAGGUGGAGCACAAAGGAUUUUUAAGGCAGUGAAACUAUUCUGAAUGAUACUGUAAUGGUGGUUACAUGUCAUACCUUUGUCAAAACCAAUAAAAUAUAACAACCAAUAAAACUGCACAAAGAGUGAACCCUAAUGUAAACUAUGGACUUAAUAAUGUAUCAAUAUUGGCUCACCAAUUUUAACAAAUGUACCACACUAAUGCAAGAUGUUACUAAUAGUGGAAACUGGAGGGAAGAGGGCUUGAGGGGACAUAUGGGAACUCUCUGUAAUUCCUGUUCAGUUUUUCUGUAACUGUUAAACUGUCCAAAAAAAGUCUGUUUUUAUAAAUGGAGGCAUGGUUUUAUAUGGACUAAAAUACUAUGAUUGCCUUUUUAUUUUACACAUGGUGAAAUUAGAGCAGGACAUAUUUUAAACUCAAAAUUCACAAAAUUAAUUUAUGAAAAUGUUUACCCAGAUCAAGAAUAUUAAAGAAACUUAGAUUAAGAUUGUUACCUUGAAUUUAUUUUACUGAGUAAUCCUCUAAGACUCCUCUACACAUUAUUAAU